Molecule: ribosomal RNA, 110 nt
Filed under: Caerostris darwini
Lineage: Eukaryota; Metazoa; Arthropoda; Arachnida; Araneae; Araneidae
Source: RNAcentral
CGGCCGUACCAUGCUGAAUAUACCGGUUCUCGUUAGAUCACCGAAGUCAAGCAUCAUUGGGCGCGGUCAGUACUUGGGUGGGUGACCACCUGGGAACACCGCGUGCCGUU